AGCCUGCCGAGCCUUCCUUCCCUGGUGGGCCGGUGACUGCGCCUGCACGGUCGCCCUCUGUGAACUAGAAGUCUGGGAAAUUCCCAGGAAGUUAAGGGAGUAGCUCGAGCUGGAGCGUGAAGACAUUUAAAAACCCCAAUUAACACUACUACCCAAGCAAAAAGCAUUUUGAGGCCCCUAGCUUGCGACCUCCAAGCUAGAGCCUUUCGCAGAGUAAGCUUCGGGCCGGCCACCAGCUUAAAGAGCGAGCAGGAGCUGGAGUAUCCUUGACGCGUCUGCAGAAGCCCCGCCCCCGGCCGGCGAGCAGGUGUCGGUGACGUCAUGCGCCCUAGGAGCGCCGUAGCCAAGGCAACCAGCGUCUGCCGCUUCCAAGGAAAUGCGCCUGCGCAGGGGGGAGGCCAACACUAUCAUUUACAGAAUCCUCUCGGUUGGCGCUGGGUCUGUUUCAGAGGUUGGAGCCUCGGCUUCACAUCUUCAAAACCGCCCCAUUCAAAGCGUGCUCUACUACGCAUGUGCGAAAACUGGUAUCUUGGCAACGGGUGGCUGGAACGAGGAAGUCAAGGUUUCGGCCAAUCAGAAGUCGAGUUUUACGCGCACACCCUCCUACCUUUAACUAGACUGGAAGGACAGUAUCUGUGGCAACGGACGCUUUUGCGGGAGGCAGAGGAUUCUGGGAAAUGUAGUUAAUUAGAGACUCCUGCGGGAUCCAUCAACACCCAAACUUUGCUUUGCUAAACUCCCGCCAAUAUAAAAUACAUAGGCAAUACCCAGCCCCAGAUGUUUCCCCUUCACCUCACAAUAGUGGCAAAACGUGUCUUGAGUUGGUCUUUAGUAUUUGGAAACAUCAGUUGUCCACACUACUUAUCGAGAGAUUUCACCUUAAAAAAUUUGAAUUUCUGGAUUCGCUUGAAAAAUCUGAACAUCUGAAAACACUGGAUCUGUUAUUUCACCAUGACGGCAAUAGGAUGGAGCUGAGUAUUUUCUAUCCUCUAUGAAUGAGACUUGCAUUUGUCUACUUUAUCUACUGGGACCCAGAAGAUAUUUGAGGUUUCAACCCCAGACCCUGGGGAAAACCACCAAGUUCCUUUCCCUGGCAUUUAAAGCCCUUCAGUGUGUGGAUCAAUACUGACUUGGUAGGAUUUCCCCCUCCAACACCACCACUCUCAUUUAUUCAACAAAUAUUUACGGAGUAUCUGCUCUGGGUCAAGUAUAGUGCCAGGCGCUGAAUCUUUAGCUAAAUUCAGCCUGUCUUAUCAACCCCCAUCUUUCCUCCCAAAGAUCCUCAUUUAUCCGAAUUUUGAAUGAGACAGCAACAGUUCUGCCAGCAGGUCCAGAAACAGAAGGAUACCAUGUUAUCCAAACCUGUUUGCCUCCUGCUUCAGGCUAGCGAGCAGCAAGAGUUCAGACAGCAAAAGAUUUACAUGAAAAUAUAUCUGAACUGUCAACUUAAAAAGCAAAUUUGUCUGUUAUUUUUACCUCAAAAUGAAUUUAUUUGGGAAUAGCCAAAAGAAUUGCAAUUCAAGACACGCAUGCUGUGGCAAACCAUAGGCAAAUCCAGAGGGGAAAAAAAGGAGGGGAGCUGCCUUUAUAGAGAAAAAGGGGGAGUAGGGACAGGACAUUCUAAAUGGAAGUCCAUUGGGGAAAAGUAGCAGUUCAGGGCAGCAACUGGCUUUUCAUUGGUUGGGCU
RNAcentral lists this long non-coding RNA (1687 nucleotides) under Equus caballus (horse). RNAcentral describes it as "lncRNA (ENSECAG00000048243.1)". Lineage: Eukaryota; Metazoa; Chordata; Mammalia; Perissodactyla; Equidae. The record is from RNAcentral.